AGAGUUUGAUCAUGGCUCAGAUUGAACGCUGGCGGCAUGCGUAACACAUGCAAGUCGAACGGUGUUUGGUGCUUGCACCAGACAUAGUGGCGGACGGGUGAGUAAUGCGUAGGAAUCUGUCUUAGAGAGGGGGACAACCCGAGGAAACUUGGGCUAAAACCGCAUAUUCUCGAGAGAGGAAAGCAGGGGGACCGGAAACGGCCUUGUGCUCUAAGGUGAGCCUACGUCGGAUUAGCUAGUUGGUAGGGUAAAAGCCUACCAAGGCGAUGAUCUGUAGCUGGUCUGAGAGGACGGACAGCCACACUGGGACUGAGACACGGUCCAGACUCCUACGGGAGGCAGCAGUGGGGAAUAUUGGACAAUGGGGGGAACCCUGAUCCAGCGAUGCCGCGUGUGUGAAGAAGGCCUGCGGGUUGUAAAGCACUUUCAGUGGGAAAGAGAAGCGUCUUGUGAAUAAUGGGACGUGGAGACGUUACUCACAGAAGAAGCACCGGCUAACUCUGUG
This 505-nucleotide ribosomal RNA is filed under the name uncultured bacterium. RNAcentral describes it as "bacterial SSU rRNA". It matches the Rfam family "Bacterial small subunit ribosomal RNA", at positions 8 to 507 of the family's 1533-position model. The record is from RNAcentral.